This 148-nucleotide ribosomal RNA is filed under the name Salmonella enterica subsp. enterica serovar Infantis. RNAcentral's name for it is "partial 16S ribosomal RNA". It matches the Rfam family "Bacterial small subunit ribosomal RNA", at positions 1 to 144 of the family's 1533-position model. RNAcentral also lists the same sequence under 5 other names. Lineage: Bacteria; Pseudomonadati; Pseudomonadota; Gammaproteobacteria; Enterobacterales; Enterobacteriaceae. The record is from RNAcentral.
AAAUUGAAGAGUUUGAUCAUGGCUCAGAUUGAACGCUGGCGGCAGGCCUAACACAUGCAAGUCGAACGGUAGCACAGAGAGCUUGCUCUCGGGUGACGAGUGGCGGACGGGUGAGUAAUGUCUGGGAAACUGCCUGAUGGAGGGGGAU